Pelobates cultripes (western spadefoot toad) is the source of this 472-nucleotide non-coding RNA. Lineage: Eukaryota; Metazoa; Chordata; Amphibia; Anura; Pelobatidae. The record is from the annotation of a GenBank genome assembly.
GGCUACUCCUCAGCUGGCCACUAGAGGUGCUUCCUGGGCCAGUGCUGCACAGUAGGCAGCACUGCCAUUCAGCAACUCCACGAUAUACAUGGAGACACUGAAUUUUCCUCAUAGAGAUCCAUUGAUUCAAUGCAUCUCAAUGAAGAAGUGCUGAUUGGCCAAAACAGCAUUUGGUCCGCUCCAUCCCACCUCUUUGCCGAUUUCCAUAAAUCCAAUGCUUUCCCCAUUGGAUUGGCUAAAAAUCGGAAAAUCGGAUUAUGUCAUCAAGGAAGCAAAAUAAGGUGAGUUUCCACCUUUUCUAAGGAGGCUAAGGGGGUGCAAGUCACCUGAACAGUGGAUUAAACACUAUAGGGUCAGGAAUACAUGUUUGUGUUCCUGACCCUAUAGUGUUCCUUUAACUGCUAACCCAGAUUGUUAUAUAAGAACUCACAACACAUGAUAAUUUAGAAGAAUACUAGAGAACACUGUCAAC